CCAGGGAUGCGGGAGCCUGGUGGGCUGCCGUCUAUGGGGUCGCACAGAGUCGGACACGACUGAAGUGACUUAGCAGCAGCAGCAGCAGCAGCAACAGUGGGUCAGCAGGGACCUCCCCGUGAUUCAUUCUGUGAUUACUGUCCCAGUUCCCAUAUGUAUAGUUGGAAUAGAGGUCCUCAUCAACAACUACAUGCUGGCUUCUGGACUUGUGGAACGAAGGCUCUAGAUGAGCAAGGGGAAGCUUCUGUUCUCAGAUGGCAUCACAUUAGUUAACUUAAAGCAAUACCACACACCCCUGGAGGAGUUGUAGAGAUGAGUGUUAAUAUCAAACCCUUGAGUAAGGCGGGGAUUAUAAUUCCUAUUACAUUCCCCAACUCCCCCUCCCGCAUCCUCAUUAAGCUCUCCUGUCUGACCAGUGAGAAGAUCGAUGGGUCUUGAGAACAAUAUUAAUGGAUUAUCAGAAACUUAAUGAGAGGAUGAUUCCAAUGAAAGCUGCUUUUCCAUAUGGGGUUGAUUUUCUGAAGCCAGUGCACACAGACCCUGAUGCCUGAUGUGGAAUUGUCAAGUUGGCAAAUGCUUUUUUGAAAUUAAAUACCAGAGACCAAGGGCUUGCCUGGUGGUAAAGAAUCUGCCUGCCAAUGCAGGAGACAUGGGUUUGAUCCCUAGGUCAGGAAUAUUCCCUGGAGAAGGAAAUGGCAACCCACUCCAGUAUUCCAACCUGGGAAAUCCCAUGGACAGAGGAGCCUGGCAGGCUACAGUCCAUGGGGUCUCAAAAGAGUCAGACACAACUUAGCUACUAACCAAGAGACCAUAGAUGCAGUUUCCUUUUUAACUAGCAGAGGGGAGCAAUGGACAACCCGCUGCAUCAACUCUCUGGCUCUGUGGGGUCAUUUAGUUCAGAGAUUGGCUAACUUUUCCUGUAAAGGGCCAAACAGUAAAUAUUUUAGGCUUUGUGGACCAUGCAAAGUUUCUGUUGCAUGUUCUUCUUCCUCUUUUUAUUUUUUUACUCAGCUCAACAAAGUGAAAACUACUCUUAGCUAGAAGCUUUACAGAAGCAUGCUGCAGGGCAGAUUUUCCCUUCAGGCCAUAAUUUGCUGGCCCCUGAUGUGGUUCCUGGGCUGCUUAGCCAUCUCUCUAGUCCAUAGGAUGCCACUCUGCUCUACGACAUUGAUCAAACUGUAAUUAAGAACCUAGAAGACAGCAAGUAGCCCUGGAUAUCUCGGUUUUAGAAACUGGGAAAACCCUGCAGGAGCCCCAGACACAAGCUCUGAGAAGGAUGAACAGAAGACAAAGCUCAACAAUGAACAACAUAAUAGGAAUUUGACCUGAACAGUAAGAGAUUUGACUUUCUUGUUGCCAGGUUGGCUUAACCCCAUCUGUAAGCGUGGUCAGUAGUGAUGACAGGACGGAGUCACCCAGGCUCAGCUAAGAUCCUGCUGUGGUAUUUACAGUUCACGACACACGAUGGGCGCAGAAAAGAAUGACGACGGAUAAAGAACAAGCAAAGAACAGGAGACUUCUUAGGACUUCCUCUAAAGUGUGAAGGCCACAUCCUUCCAUGGGGGGAGCUGGGAUGUGGGCAUAGGGACAGAAUCGUGUGGACAGGGGAGGUGACAUGGCAGACCAACAUGGGGCAGAGGGCACUCGGCAUCUGUGAACGAAAAGUGCCUUUGGCCUUGAGCUUCCUGCCUGGAGUUCAGUCGCCCCAAAGUCUUCUGAGUCCAACAAGAGACAGAUCUAGUUUCUCUCAUCUGCCACUCCUCACCUCCAGUUCAAAGCUAGCCUCCAGGAAACAUAAUCCUCUUCAGAGAUGUAGUAGGGCUUGGAAUGAAGAUGACCUUUUUCAUUGUUAUGUAGAGCUGUUUGCUUCCUCUCUAUUUUGAAUGUCCCAUUGUAGAAUAAUAUUCUUUUUGGCUUUAUCAUUACCACCAGUGGAUUACCACCACUUUAUCGAAAUCCACCAGAGUACCUUGUUUCCCCCAAAUCAAAAGCAAUCUGAUCACGUGGUUGAAGUUAAGCUUCUAUUUGGAGAACUUGAUAAAAUGUUCCUAGUUCUAAAAUAGUGGUGUUUCCUGGCUCUCUGCUCCCGAUCACAUCUGAGUACCCUAUCAAGGUUUUUUUUGUUUGUUUUUGUUUUUAAAUAAAACAUGCAAGUCUACUCUCAGCUGAAGCUUUCCAUUACAAAACCAGAAAAGGCUAACUCAGGGAGGUUUUUAUUUUUAUGUUAUAGAAAACAUAAAAUGAGUCAAUCAUUUGUUUUCAUUAUAACUUUCAGGAAAAUGAAAUUCAGCCUUAUAAAAUGUUACUUCAUUUUAGACCAAAUAAAAUGGUUGUCUUUUCACACUGAUGAAUUUCCUCAACCUUUUCCUAAGGUUUCAAACGAUCCUAUUUGCCCACAAGUGCUGUGUUUCAAAGGAAGAGCACUUUUGAGUUAUCUAUAAUGAUUUCUCGGCUUUUACCUUAGAGAAUAUUGCAAUGCGUUCUGCGUGAGAAGCUUAUAUUCUAUUUACAAAGAAAAAUAUCUGUAACUUUAUGCUUUGCUGGAAUAUGUUAUAGAAACCAAUACUCAAGUGUACAUGAAAAAGUUACUCUGGAAUUUCUAAAAUCUUCAAAAAGUUAGUGAUCUCACACACACACACACAUGCAUUAGCAUAUACACAUUCAUUCAUCAAUUUGUGUAACAUGGGAUGAGGUUUUGGAAAUAACCCAUAUGAAUUUACUCUUCAUGGUAACUCAAAGUCUUUCUCUGUAUCUUCCCUGGCAUUAUUGUUCCAAGAAAGGGAAGUACAAGUGCUACCAGAAAAAGAGGAGGCUAUGAGAUAGGAGCCUUGAUGAACAGGGUAGCAAAGUACAAAAUGAGGAGGGGAGAAAGGGCAGGAGAUGAGAAAGGGGAAGGAAUACACAUGUGAUUGUCCUGCUCCUCCCUUAGAGGUUAAUCUUCAAGGGAGGGAGUAGAUACAUUUUCCGAAGAACCCCCCAACAUGGCCCCUCUCAGAGAAGUUCCACACUAGGGGGACAUGUUAGAAAGCCUUGACAGAGGAAGGUUCUAGAUGGAUGGACCAUGGUUUCUCAUGACCUUCAUGUGCUACAUGCGGGUCUAAAGUUCCCGAUGACCUUGCGAGGAACACAGAAGUGCUGAGAGAACCGUGGGUCAGAGAUGUCUCAGGGCUAAGUAAACCCCCUUCUAAGCAGAAGGUCCAAGAGAGGUGAAGCAGACCCUAAAAACUGAGAGGUUUUUCAGCAAGUGUAGGAAGAGGCUCCAGUUGGAUAUAACUUGAUUUAAAAAUAAAUAAAUGUGAGCUUCCCUGGUGGCUCAGUGGUGGGGGUCUUCCUGCGGUGCAGGAGAGGUGGGGUCAAUCCCUGGUCCUGGAGCAUCCCACGUGCCAUGGAGCAGCUGAAUCCGGCGGGCCACAGCUAUUGAGCCUGUUCUGUAGAGCCCAGGUGCUGCAACAACUGAAGCCCAC
Long non-coding RNA from Cervus elaphus (red deer), 3464 nucleotides. RefSeq lists it as uncharacterized. NCBI's taxonomy places the organism in Eukaryota, Metazoa, Chordata, Mammalia, Artiodactyla, Cervidae. The record is from RefSeq and is a predicted model, not a curated record. The transcript has 4 exons.